Molecule: long non-coding RNA, 1260 nt
Organism: Scylla paramamosain (green mud crab)
Lineage: Eukaryota; Metazoa; Arthropoda; Malacostraca; Decapoda; Portunidae
Exons: 2
Source: RefSeq, a predicted model, not a curated record
AUAGCUUAAUUACGUACGUAUAUGCAUAUUUUUUUUGUCACACACGUGACUACUCUACCACGGAACCAGGUGCCUGCCUCUCAACUCGUGGCGCUGCCACGUGUAUGGCUUGAGGCAUACUGGAUACGUGACCUCUAGCAGGCUACCAAGCCGAUAACGAGGGGUGGAGUUCCAUCGAGCUUCAGUCUCCUCCAAGAGUCGCUACAGCUCUGAGGUCGCUUUGGCAUACGCUGGGAGCCUCAUAUACACUCGAGAGAGGUGUUUUUACGCUGUCUUUGUAUCCUAGACCCUUAAAAAUGGCAUGGUCUGUUUGCAGAAACGUCAAAAGUUGAUGAGAUGCUGCUCGCCGCUGCGCUUGCUGUGUUAUUGAGCUUUCUAAAAGGUCAUAAUACGAAAAACUUCUUUUUUUUUUUUUUGUGCCAGAAUGAAAUAAUUAUUGUGUGGAUGUUUCUGACAUCCCUUCACUGUGAAGUUGACAGCUUGGUAGUCACAGUUGUGGUGCCUGCACUUUUGUUGGAAAUAGAUGAGUUAUAAGGUUGGUUUCGCCUUUUUCCUGCUUUACUGCCCCUGUGUGGGGAGGGUGUGCAGGGUGUGUAAAGGAGUUCUUCAAGAGAAUGAAUGCAAGAAAGGCAACUGAAGCCGGAAUAAAGAGGCAGCAGCACGUCAGGUGAAUGACACAAGACAAAACCCUACCCUUCCAGCGCCAGGCUCCAAGGCCGUGGCCUCCUCGCCCUGUAACACUGACACGGAUCAACUACACGCUGGUCAGAGGAAGAUUUCCCUUUGAGUGAGAUGGAAGGAGACGCAAUUGUUUCCCUCGCGGAGAUUUAAAAAUGGCGCUACACCCGCACUGUACCUUUAUUUUUAUUAUUAUAAGGCAAUUUCUCGUUUUUAAACUAUUUUUGAUUUUUUUUUUUUUUUGGAGAAUAAUGUGUUUUAUGUUUCUUGUGAAAGAAAAUAAAUGUGUUUAGUUUAAAUAUAUAAUAUAUAAAUUUUUCCCCUUUUUUUUUUUUGCAUAUUCACAAAUAUGGUGAGAUAGAGAAUAUGCAUCAUAUUUAAUAUUUCACUAUAGUUACUCCUUUAAGAGACAAAGAAAACCCUUAUGUAAGAGCACGUUAAAGGGAAAUUGAAGUAAACUUAUCCUUUAUUUUUUUUUCGUGUAUUUUGCAGCGUUAUCAAAGAGAUUUAACUAUUUCCUUCAGCAAGCACAAAAAAGACACUCCACAAUGAAAGGAUUGUUGCAUAAAAUGGACAAAACCA